RNAcentral lists this ribosomal RNA (247 nucleotides) under uncultured bacterium. RNAcentral's name for it is "partial 16S ribosomal RNA". It matches the Rfam family "Bacterial small subunit ribosomal RNA", at positions 86 to 334 of the family's 1533-position model. The record is from RNAcentral.
AGAUGGCGACCGGCGCACGGGUGAGUAACACGUAUCCAACCUGCCGAUAACUCGGGGAUAGCCUUUCGAAAGAAAGAUUAAUACCCGAUGGUAUAAUCAGACCGCAUGGUCUUGUUAUUAAAGAAUUUCGGUUAUCGAUGGGGAUGCGUUCCAUUAGGCAGUUGGUGAGGUAACGGCUCACCAAACCUUCGAUGGAUAGGGGUUCUGAAAGGAAGGUCCCCCACAUUGGAACUGAGACACGGUCCAA